Molecule: ribosomal RNA, 465 nt
Filed under: uncultured bacterium
Lineage: Bacteria
Description: partial 16S ribosomal RNA
Rfam family: Bacterial small subunit ribosomal RNA
Source: RNAcentral
GACGAACGCUGGCGGCGUGCUUAACACAUGCAAGUCGAACGGAAAGGCCCUGCUUGCAGGGUACUCGAGUGGCGAACGGGUGAGUAACACGUGGGUGAUCUGCCCUGCUCUUCGGGAUAAGCCUGGGAAACUGGGUCUAAUACCGGAUAGGAGCCAUUUUUAGUGUGAUGGUUGGAAAGUUUUUUCGGUGUAGGAUGAGCUCGCGGCCUAUCAGCUUGUUGGUGGGGUAAUGGCCUACCAAGGCGGCGACGGGUAGCCGGCCUGAGAGGGUGGACGGCCACAUUGGGACUGAGAUACGGCCCAGACUCCUACGGGAGGCAGCAGUGGGGAAUAUUGCACAAUGGGCGCAAGCCUGAUGCAGCGACGCCGCGUGGGGGAUGACGGCCUUCGGGUUGUAAACUCCUUUCGCUAGGGACGAAGCUUUUUGUGACGGUACCUAGAUAAGAAGCACCGGCUAACUACGUG